AUUGAACGCUAGCGGCAUGCCUUACACAUGCAAGUCGAACGGCAGCACGGGAGCAAUCCUGGUGGCGAGUGGCGAACGGGUGAGUAAUACAUCGGAACGUGCCCGAUCGUGGGGGAUAACUACUCGAAAGAGUAGCUAAUACCGCAUACGAUCUACGGAUGAAAGCGGGGGAUCGCAAGACCUCGCGCGGACGGAGCGGCCGAUGGCAGAUUAGGUAGUUGGUGGGAUAAGGGCUCACCAAGCUGACGAUCUCUAGCUGGUCUGAGAGGAUGGCCAGCCACACUGGAACUGAGACACGGUCCAG
This 304-nucleotide ribosomal RNA is filed under the name uncultured bacterium. RNAcentral's name for it is "bacterial SSU rRNA". It matches the Rfam family "Bacterial small subunit ribosomal RNA", at positions 30 to 334 of the family's 1533-position model. The record is from RNAcentral.